This 544-nucleotide ribosomal RNA is filed under the name uncultured bacterium. Its description in RNAcentral is "bacterial SSU rRNA". It matches the Rfam family "Bacterial small subunit ribosomal RNA", at positions 355 to 889 of the family's 1533-position model. The record is from RNAcentral.
UGGGGAAUAUUGCAGCAAUGGGCGCAAGCCUGGAUGCAGCCAUGCCGCGUGUGUGAAGAAGGCCUUCGGGUUGUAAAGCACUUUCAGUCGUGAGGAAGGUAGUGUAGUUAAUAGCUGCAUUAUUUGACGUUAGCGACAGAAGAAGCACCGGCUAACUCCGUGCCAGCAGCCGCGGUAAUACGGAGGGUGCGAGCGUUAAUCGGAAUUACUGGGGCGUAAAGCGCAUGCAGGUGGUUUGUUAAGUCAGAUGUAGCAAGGCCGGCAACCUCGGAAUAGCAUUUGAAACUGGCAGACUAGAGUACUGUAGAGGGGGGUAGAAGUUUCAGGUGUAGCGGUGAAAUGCGUAGAGAUCUGAAGGAAUACCGGUGGCGAAGGCGGCCCCCUGGACAGAUACUGACACUCAGAUGCGAAAAGCGUGGGGAGCAAAACAGGAUUAGAUACCCUGGUAGUCCACGCCGUAAACGAUGUCUACUUGGAGGUUGUGGCCUUGAGCCGUGGCUUUCGGAGCUAACGCGUUAAGUAGACCGCCUGGGAGUACGGUCGC